Non-coding RNA from Taeniopygia guttata (zebra finch), 672 nucleotides. The record is from RefSeq and is a predicted model, not a curated record. NCBI's taxonomy places the organism in Eukaryota, Metazoa, Chordata, Aves, Passeriformes, Estrildidae.
AUUUUGGAGCAGUGUGAAUCCAGUGCUUUGUAUCUUCUCACCCCAGACACAAUCUGGACUAGCGCAGCAAGAAACAAAUUUCUGGGAGCUUAAGCUUGUUCCGCUUUAUUUGUGGUUUUUUCUGUGGGUUUGUUUUUGUUUUUUUUUUUGAGAGCAGCUGUCUUUGAGAUUUGUGAUCUUUUCUAAAAGCAUGACCAUAGUGAUCAUAAGGGCUUGGUGAAUUUAUUAACUCUACUUGAUUAAAUCCUCCUUUGACUCCAUUUUGAAAGAAUUAGUUCUGGAACACAGAUUUAGAUCUCCUCUACCAUGUACUUGCCAGAUGUAGGAUGAACUUUAUAAGCACUUUUAUUGCUUUGGACCCAAACAAGAAAUAUCACAAUAUGUAGUGUAAACCACUAAACCCAGAAGUUAAAAAUCAUUAAGAUUUCUUAUUCCAGGCCCUGAACUCUGGAAAUGGAUUAGCCAAUGGUGCCCACCUUCUCUUGCAGUCAAGGAAUAAAUGUGUGAUCCCAGCUUGACAGAAAGUAAUGUCCUGUGAGCAGAGGAUACUUUUGGGAAUACUUCAGCCCUGGCAGUCAAAGGUUUCACCAACACUGCUUCACUGAGGACAGAAAAUUCAACAGUAGCUGAAUUGUGGAGUUCCCAGAAGACCAUUUUAUUCUGAAUCUAAGG